GACGAACGCUGGCGGCGUGCUUAACACAUGCAAGUCGAACGCUGAAGCUCAGCUUUUGUUGGGUGGAUGAGUGGCGAACGGGUGAGUAACACGUGAGUAACCUGCCCCCUUCUUUGGGAUAACGCCCGGAAACGGGUGCUAAUACUGGAUAUUCACUGGUCUUCGCAUGGGGGUUGGUGGAAAGGGUUUUUCUGGUGGGGGAUGGGCUCGCGGCCUAUCAGCUUGUUGGUGGGGUGAUGGCCUACCAAGGCUUUGACGGGUAGCCGGCCUGAGAGGGUGACCGGUCACAUUGAGACUGAGAUACGGCCCAGACUCCUACGGGAGGCAGCAGUGGGGAAUAUUGCACAAUGGGCGCAAGCCUGAUGCAGCGACGCCGCGUGAGGGAUGGAGGCCUUCGGGUUGUGAACCUCUUUCGCUCAUGGUCAAGCCGCAACAAUGGUUGUGGUGAGGGUAGUGGGUAAAGAAGCGCCGGCUAACUACAUG
This 483-nucleotide ribosomal RNA is filed under the name uncultured bacterium. Its description in RNAcentral is "partial 16S ribosomal RNA". It matches the Rfam family "Bacterial small subunit ribosomal RNA", at positions 28 to 507 of the family's 1533-position model. The record is from RNAcentral.